Molecule: unclassified non-coding RNA, 286 nt
Filed under: Hevea brasiliensis (rubber tree)
Lineage: Eukaryota; Viridiplantae; Streptophyta; Magnoliopsida; Malpighiales; Euphorbiaceae
Source: RNAcentral
UCCACUUUGAUGCCAAUCCUUUGGGUCUUUAGAUGCCUUAGAAAGUUCCCCAAAUAUGAGCCAUUACUCAACGACGUCCACCUUGGCAAAUAUUCAUUCCCUUUAAAGAUUUUCCCUUGGAGAACCUGCAACUCCCCUGAAGUCCCAUCCUUCUUAUAUGUUCAGUUUGAAGCAACUUGGAGCAAUUCCAAACAAUGUUUGAAAUUCUCCAAUGGUAGCACUUUGGUCAACAUGUCAGCUACAUUUUUUUAUGUGUGCACCUUCCUCAAUUGAAUCUCACUUCAAG